AUACGUAGGGGGCGAGCGUUGUCCGGAAUUACUGGGCGUAAAGGGUGCGCAGGCGGACAUUUAAGUGAGAUGUGAAAGACCCGGGCUUAACUUGGGCAGGGCAUUUCAAACUGGGUGUCUUGAGUGCAGGAGAGGAGAACGGAAUUCCUAGUGUAGCGGUGAAAUGCGUAGAGAUUAGGAAGAACACCAGUGGCGAAGGCGGUUCUCUGGACUGUAACUGACGCUGAGGCACGAAAGCGUGGGUAGCAAACAGGAUUAGAUACCCUGGUAGUCCACGCCGUAAACGAUGAGUACUAGGUGUAGGAGGUAUCGACCCCUUCUGUGCCGCAGUAAACACAAUAAGUACUCCGCCUGGGGAGUACGGCCGCAAGGCUGAA
RNAcentral lists this ribosomal RNA (377 nucleotides) under uncultured bacterium. RNAcentral describes it as "bacterial SSU rRNA". It matches the Rfam family "Bacterial small subunit ribosomal RNA", at positions 523 to 898 of the family's 1533-position model. The record is from RNAcentral.